CGCGUAGGUGGUAGUGUAAGUCUGGGGUGGAAUCCCAGGGCUUAACCUUGGAACUGCCUUGGAAACUGUAUUACUUGAGUCAGUGAGGGGAGGGUAGAAUUCCUGGUGUAGCGGUGAAAUGCGUAGAUAUCAGGAGGAAGGCCUGUGGCGAAGGCGGCCCUCUGGCGCUGGACUGACACUGAGGCGCGAAAGCGUGGGGAGCAAACAGGAUUAGAUACCCUGGUAGUCCACGCCCUAAACGGUGGGCACUAGGUGUAGGGCUCGUAAGGGUUCUGUGCCGAAGGGAAACCAUUAAGUGCCCCGCCUGGGGAGUACGGCCGCAAGGUUGAA
RNAcentral lists this ribosomal RNA (330 nucleotides) under uncultured bacterium. Its description in RNAcentral is "bacterial SSU rRNA". It matches the Rfam family "Bacterial small subunit ribosomal RNA", at positions 568 to 898 of the family's 1533-position model. The record is from RNAcentral.